AAGUCGUAACGAGGUUUCCGUAGGUGAACCUGCGGAAGGAUCAUUAAUGAGUUAGGGUCUCCGGGCCCGACCUCCAACCCUUUGUUGUCACAAAACCAAUUGUUGCUUUGGCGUGGACCGCCCGCGAGGGCUGCCGGUCUUAGGCCCGGCAUGCGCCCGCCAGAGGAAAACCAAACUCUUGUUUAUCAAACCGUACGUCUGAGUAAAAUGAUUAAAUCAAUCAAAA
RNAcentral lists this unclassified non-coding RNA (226 nucleotides) under plant metagenome. Its description in RNAcentral is "partial contains small subunit ribosomal RNA and internal transcribed spacer 1". The stretch from base 1 to 46 matches the Rfam family "Eukaryotic small subunit ribosomal RNA", at positions 1786 to 1831 of the family's 1831-position model. The record is from RNAcentral.